RNAcentral lists this ribosomal RNA (407 nucleotides) under uncultured Rhizophagus. Its description in RNAcentral is "eukaryotic LSU rRNA". The record is from RNAcentral. Lineage: Eukaryota; Fungi; Glomeromycota; Glomeromycetes; Glomerales; Glomeraceae.
GUGAAAUUGUUGAAAGGGAAACGAUUGAAAGUCAGUCGUACCGACGAGAAAUCAGCCAUCUUGAGUGCGAUUUUGUGGGUGGUGAAGAGCUUAACGGCCUUUCUCAUUUACGAAAUUUGUGCUCUUAUGGUGUAUUUUUUCGUAUGGUAGGUCAACAUCAAUUUUGAUCGUUAUAAAAUGAAUUGGUGGGAAUGUAGCUUUUGAAUCUCGUAUUGAAGUGUUAUAGCCUCUGAUAGACGUAACGAUUAAGAUUGAGGAUUUGCAACGAAUACCUUUCGAGGCUAUUCGCCUGAUCUCUGGAAGUCACUUUGGUAUCGAAAGCAUGCUUUCGGCAUUAAGGAUGGCGACCAAAAGGUUAGAGCGUGAUUAAAUUCGUUAAGGAUGUUGACGUAAUGGCUUUAAACGAC